This is a long non-coding RNA of Pezoporus occidentalis (night parrot), 7632 nucleotides long. RefSeq lists it as uncharacterized. The transcript is spliced from 4 exons. The record is from RefSeq and is a predicted model, not a curated record. Lineage: Eukaryota; Metazoa; Chordata; Aves; Psittaciformes; Psittacidae.
CGCUGCCGGCGGGGGGCUCGGUGCAGCUCGCCCGCUCUCCGGGCAGCGCCGCGCAGGCGCGCUGCUCCCGCCCCGCCGCAGCUCCACAGUUCAUAAGGAGUGCCAAGAGCAGUUUCACAUCUACAGAAAACCUGUUCCUGCCUUGCAAGUAGCUUGAAGAACAUCAGGGAGAUGGUGGCGUGGAAAGGAAGUAACAGAGGUAUGUAGACAUGUUCUGUGUUUUAUUUGCUGACACCAUCUGAGGAUGAGUGGGCUUAUGAAAGAGCCUGGAAAGCCGAGCCUUUGUCGAUGAAUCAUGGGAGGUUGUGUCACCAUAAGUGGAUGAGGUGGAGAAAUGAUUGAAGGGUAUGUGGUUGAGAAAUACUGCUGGAGUGCAGAAGUGGUGGGGACAACACGGGUCUCAACAGAAGAGGAGUAGACUGGGGGAAUGCAGUUAGGUUGGGCCUUGAAGUAGGACAGUAGGUGAAAAACAAGUGGAGGGCUGCUAAGGAGUAAGUGACGUGGUCAGGUUUGUGAGAGGUGUUUGAUCUUCCUCAGGUUGCAAAGGAGCAUUUUAUGUUUGGAGUAUAGAGAAAAGAACUUUGCAGUAGUUGUGGUAGGGUAUACCAAAGAGGCCUAAACAGCAGAUUUGCCUAUGAAAACGAUAAGAGAUUGGUCUUGAAGCUGGAGGGGUAGAAUGAAGGCCCAGGAUCUGUGUGUGACUCAUGGGAAAGGGAGGGGGGAUAGUGGAAAUGGGGUAUGUUAUUGCUGACAGUAGUGAAGGAGAAAAGGGAAAGUGAAGCUAAACCAACACAACCUUGUACCUCAGCAAGCAUAAAUUGAUGACAAAAUCUCCAGGAAGAGAUGCCAGGCAGAGGCAGAAAGGUUGAUGACAGAGGGGGAAAUAUGAGAAUCACAAGCACAGAAAUGCUAUCUAAAAUCCUUGAGAACUGCCAGACAGAGGGAGGAAAGAGAAGUGAGGGCAGGUCUGUGAACUCAAGCCUGGUAUUAAGAAAGGAAAAGAGAAUGAUGACUCAUUGACAGAAAUAACACAAGUGAACAUUAUUUGUAAUCGUAGUAAGUACUACUUCUGAUAGUAACAGAUCUAAGGAUCAACAGGAAAGCACUGUAGGGUAGGUUCUGAGAGUUACAAAGGCUGAGGAAGGCAGGUGACCCAGGAAAGAAUUUUAAGGACUUGUGAAUCCUAGGCCAAUGUGUCCUUCAUGUCACAUCCAGAGCUGUAGAGGCUAUUUCCCAGGUUGUCAGCUCCUGCCUUCUGUGUUGCCUUAUCCCACAUCAGUGACUUACCCACGCCAUAAUACAGGACCUUAGAAGUCAUCUGAAAGUAUAUGUUAAAACCAGCAAGCUCGUUUAAAGAUAGUUUUCACAGGCUUGGGUGAGAAGGCCAUGCUUAAGUGACCUAUGAGGUUUCUUUGAACAUACUAAGGCUGUAAUUGAUAAAGGAGCAGUUGGUAGGCAUGGAAGAGUUGGGUAGUUCAAAACACAUGUGAGAGGGCCUCAGGUCAAAGACUGAUCAUCAAACAGAAACUGUGAGAUCCAGAGCAAGACAGCUGCUGAAAUGGGAAGCUCUCUUAGAAAUACAAAUUGAAAUAUGAAAUUCAUACAUUGUUUUGAUGUGGAAAAUGAAAGAUAACUUUGUGUUUGAAGCUUACCUUGAGGUUUGAGAGAGGAACAUAUUAGAAAAAUAAUGUACUUAUUAAACAAGGAUCGUGACACAACAUAACUGCACCGGAAGAUACAAAGACUGUUUUGCACUGUAGAUUACAGCAUGAUUUGCAUUUGUUUAAUUAGUUAGUGGUAGUUGAUACCACCAGAUAGGCAGUUCCUGAUUUAUACAUAACGAAUAUUUUAAGUCAGCCCAGCAGGUGCUGUGUAUCAGCAAAGUUUUGCUUUAAGCCUGCCAUACAGUGACAUAAAAUUCUGGUUUAGUUAAAAAAAAAAAAAAAAAAAAAUCCAUAAUUGCUAAUGUUUGGACUAUGGUAGACAAAACACACCAAAUAAUUUUCAAAGAUCUAAUUUAUGGGUAAAAAGUUUUCACAGAAGUUUGGUUAAUCCCAAACUGUAUAGUGGUACUUCUACUCCCUUAGUCCUAUGGAAAAAUAACAAUAUUACAACUAUUUUUUUCUGGUUUAUAGUUGACAUUUUUAAAGAUUCUUUUUGGUUGCAGAAUCUGCUUAAGCAGAUUUGAUAUCUUAAGCUAUAAGCUUCCAUCUUCAUGUGCUGGGAUGCCGAAGGAUCUCCCCUCACUCUGCAAAGAAUUCCAAGGCUAUAAUGGAUACAUACCCCCCGUGUACGUGAGCUGAAUGUACAGAUUAGCUUGCCCCAGUCAGCCAUAACCCAUGUUCAGUCUUUUUGGUUUCAGCAUAGCUGUGUGUCUCCUCUAUGCUUUUAGACUUAGACACAAUACAAUAACUUGAAGAGGCAAGACCAUGCUUUUGGUCACUCAUGCAAUGCCAUUGACUUCAGUGGAGUUAAAGAAUGAAUGAAAUUAAAGAAUGACUAAAAGGUUAGAUCCCUUAUCAAUGAACUGAGCAGUCUUUUCUGUACUUCCCUGAUGAGUGUCUUCUCUACAUUGGGAAGGGAAGUUAAGCAGGAAAGACUUAAUGCGAAGGCCGAUGUGUAAGUCCAGGAGUUAUCUACUUUUUUUCUGUGAUAUCUAUUGUCAUUUUAAGUUAUGAAGGCUGAGGAAAGCAGGUGACCCAGGAAAGAGAUUUAAGGACAUGUAAAUCCUAGGCCAGUGGAUCUUUCUGGUCACAUUCACAACGGUAGAAGCUCUAAGCUUACUAAGUUUUACUUGCUAAAAAGAAUUAAACCAACCAGUAGUUCUUGGACACCUCUGUGGGAAGCGUGGAGUUGGUAGGUUGUUCAAAUAGUUCACAGUCUGAAAAAGGAUUCUGGUGCAGCAGCAGCAAGUGAUGUUAUUAGAAAUUCUUAAAUGUAUUGGAAAACAUUGGCCUUGGAAUUACAUUUUAUCUCCUAAGCUAAUUCUCACAACUGGUGAGAGAUUUUGAUGAUCAUCCACCUUGAGCUGGGCUGAUCAAAACCUGGCACAAGCUGUAGAGUUUAGAAAGGCCUUUCUAAAGGCCUCCUUUGUGGGAGCUUUCAGAGAGGCCAGUUGCACAGCUACUACCCAGGAGAGUAUAUAUGCACUUUUAGCAGUCCUGUUAGAGUCAUUGGGUCUACUUAUAACCUUAGCUGUUCUUCUAAGUCAACACUUUUAAUGAUGACAGUGAAAGAAUAGCUUUAAGCCAUAGAUCUAUUUUAGUUUCUAAACUACUGUGUAGCAGAAAAACAAAGUGAGUCCUCUUACUAAUUUUGUCAGUCGUGUUAGGUCACUCCACUCUCUCCUGUGUUCUGAUGACACAGGAAGAGUAAGUCCUUCUUUCACCUCUGUAUCUGGUUUCCUGGGAUCACCUUUGUUGCCUUAUGCUUCAGAGUAAUAAUACACAAUGAAAGGUAGGUUGUCUUUCAGACAGAAGUCUAAAUUAUGUCUGCAAAGAAAAAAAUAGCUUGUGGGUUCACUUGCUAUUCAUUUGUUAAUCCCCCUGCUCUCUGCUUACUGCUUUAGCUAAGAACUGCAGUGAUUUCUAAUCUAACUCCCAAGGAGCUUUCUUCUCAGUGUGGGAGAUGACUGAGUGUAUAUUCCCUAAUAUUCCUAAAUUUAGUAACUUGUAACUUUGGAGUGAUUUUUUUUUCCUAUGAAGACAUUUUACCGCUUAUGGAAGAUGCUGGAUUAACAGAUCAAAAUCACAGACUGUUGUAUAGGCACAGAAAGCGCAUAGGGAAGCUUUGUUGUAGGUUUUGAGGCUUCACUAGUAUACCAAGAUUAUCUCAUUCUGCACACCACUUUAGCCUUUCAUUUACUGAGGUUUCUAGUGAGGAUACCAACAAAGGUGACAACUAAUGAACCAUUCACUCCUGAAAUUUAAACCUAGGUCUGAAUUCAUCAUCCAGUUUAUAUUCAAAGAAAAGGGUUAUUAUGUAAAACUUGUUGCUCAAUCCUAACAAAUGCAACAGCAUAAAGAGGGAAAAGAGAUGUUCGGAGAACCUGUGACUUUGCGUGCAACUGGGGAGCACAUCCAAAAUGUUUUAAAGCUGGAGGAAGGUGAGAGGGAGAGCCCUAUUUGUAACAGUUACAAUCUCAAAACAAAAGGCAGCUACCUCUGGAACACCACUUUUGCAAUGCUUGAAUGCUAGAAUUCAGCCUGUGCUCUCUUGUAUCAAAUUCAUGACAACAGUAUUUCAGUGCAGUUCUUUAUCAGUUUUAGAUUACAUCAUGCUGUGAAUUGCUCUAUCUGUUAAUAUUGAUUCACGUAAAUCAUUUGGUUUGAGGUCUUCAAAUGGGAAGUUGAGGUGCAUUUCAGUGUACAAUGUACUCAUUUUGUCCUUGAAAAUCAUUUAGAAAAAAAAGCAAGCUGCAGUUGCAUAGAUUAUAUUACUUUUCUGAAAGGUUAGAUUUACCCCUUAGAACUGUCAAUAGUGGGACAAAAGCCUUCCAUUGAAAGAAUGAGAAUAGAGGAGAAAAUUGUUGGUGCUUAAAGUUGAUUGAGGGAGUCACAGAAGUGCUGCAGGUCUCAAGGGCCGUGUAGCCCAAAGCCUGAUUCAAAGAAGUCAUGCUGUUUUUAAUGAGAGCAGCUACAGCAGCAGAAGUGAUAACUGAAUUCUAGUUCCUGAACUUUAAUCUAGACCUAGCUAGGGUUUUUUUUCUUAAUUACCUAAGUUUUGCUUGAAUAUCUCCUUCAUUUUUAUGUAUGUUCUUCAACUGUUGCAUGGCUUUGCUGUGAGCUGAGAAACAUUUACUAUGCUCUGUCUGCUGGGCUGCAUUUUGUUCUCCAUCCAUUUGCACUGGGCUAACAUUUGUGAGUGAAGGUUCUUUUUGUUUUGCAAAUCCUUUAGGAUCCCUCAGAAAGAGUGCUGGUGUAGAAAUAUCAGUGUUACACAGAUGCAUAUCAAACUGUGAUAAAUGGAAGUUGCACUGGAAAAAAAAUGGAAGUAAUAUUGUUGUAUGUUAGUGAUUAUCAUUGGUCUUUACUCCACUAAGAAGCUCCCACCUGAAUAUGCUUGGUUUUGCUGAAAUUUUAUGUGAGUUGGAGCUGAGUAAAUGUGAUGACUAGAUUGGUGCACCUGAGCAAGGCAAGGUGUUGGCAGAAUUGUUUUGCUGCGUGCUAAAGGACUAUGAAGGUUUCUUGUAGGGAAACUGCCUUUCCUGUACAGAAAGAAAAGAUUGCUCCUUCCUGGCAAGAGGGACACUGUUAUUACUUCUCCAGCCUACUCUGAGUUUGCACUAGUGACUGAAAUGUUCCCAGACAAGCAGAUGGGAAAAUAGCCUGUAAAUCAUUAUUGUUAUAAAUGGUUUGUAAAACUUUGGAUGUUGAGAGGUAAGAGUAGUUCAAAUAAGUCUCAAUAAUGCUGACUCAAAGGUUUAAAGCAUUGCUUAAAUCCCUUGAUUAACCCAGCUUCUCAAUAUUUGACAUGAAUCAGUAACUCUUUGGCAUUCUCUAGCUUUGUAAAUAUUUAUGCAGCCAGUCCCAUGAAAUAUGACAUUUAAUCCUGUUGAAGUAAUUAUUUGUAUGCUCCAUGUAAAGAGAUAUAAAGUAUAAUAGUUCCAGUGAUGCUAGUUUAAUAAUUACUACUAAGGAUUAAAUCUGCUAUCUUUCUUUUGUCAAUAACCAGGACUUAUGCAAUGUAAGUGUGAAUGAAUGGAAUCCGCUUUCUGAUGCAAAUCUUGGGCCAGGUGCUGGGAACUCAGAUUUCCUGAUCCUGGCUUGUGCCUGGGCCUGUGGCUCAAUAGUAACAGCAGCCUUUUGUUCCAGUUAAAUGAGGUGUUGAGUGCUACAUCCAGGCAAGUAGUGAAAGAAUGGCACCUCUAUUAGCUUGUCCUCAGCCUUCCAUUUCCGAGAUACAAUGAAUGGUCUAUGCUCUCCAGGGAACUGGAAGAUGCUCUACCCAGAGUUUCCAGGACCUGGGAAAGCCUUCUGUACAAAAGUGUACCUGCCCUCCAGAUUGUGGCUGGGAAUGCUGCUAACAUAUAGGAUUUGCAGCACGUUUGUAUUUAAACGGUUUAGCUUAAGAAGCACAGUAAUAUGCUUGUUCCUCAGACACUGAGCUUUUAGUCAUUGUUUACUGGUUCAGUCUGAUUCAUCUGUGGAUUCUGCCAGGUUUUGCAGUUGUACUUCUUGCCUCUAGGUAUUCCAGAAAUAGAAGGGGUUGGGAAUAAUGAGGAAGCAGAGAAAGAUUGAAGUAGCACAAGAUGUUUAGAGUUGGCCAAGAAGAAAUCGGACUAAGCAGAACCAUUCAAGAAGGAGCAGAUGGAAACAGUUGCCAGCAGAUGAGUACUGGAAAAGAUUCAAGCCACAGUACUUGCUGGAACUUGGGAGUUUGUGAUGGCCUGAGCUAACCCAAUGACAGGUAUCUAAGAUUUGAAACCAGACAGCUACUCAGUUCUUAGCUAUGAGGGCAAAAAACCUGUUGUGGAACAAAAGCCAUGUCCAGGCCAUUCUCUGAACAAGCUACCAGAACUUGUUUCUCAGAGAAGUCCUAUGGUGAGAGGAAUCUUUAAGCUGUGGUUGUUCAUAGUGCUAAAGAUAAAAGAGAACUGCUAGUGUAUUUUUGUGAAUGUGUCUGCCCCAUAAUUCGUUCACUCAAAGUAGUGGUUUCUUUUGACCUUGAGCUAAGAUUUAACAGGUGGGGAAAAGAUAAAUUUAGGAAAUCCAGUGAUGCAAUGCUGAUACUUUUAUGACUUCUUGCAUAUUUUCUAGCAUACCAUGAAGAAUAUUAAAUGGCAAAAGCUGAAGUGUCCUUGGCAAACAAACAAACAAAAUAGUACCCUGCGAUUUUUUUACCUUUGAUUCCCCUCACCACAUGCACUUUUUACUCCCACGGAGCUUGAAAUAUUAACCCAGCAUGUUAAUUUAUUUCUUCCAGAUCUGGUCUGGCCAUUGGCUUUAACAUCUCUCUUGGAAGUACUUGAAACUAAAUGGCUGGCCCUAUCUCUAGCUUUGUUAAUUAGGCACAUUACUUUGUUGCUUUUCUCAUAUCGUUUCAUGUAAUUGGCAUUUGUGGAGCUUUUGAAAGGCAUGUUUGGGGCUACAUUUUGUGCAGCUGGCUUUAAACUGCAGGCUGCUUCAAGUGUCUAGUUCUGUAGAGGACAGCCUUUGAGAUCACAAAGCAUGUGUGCCCAGCACAUACUGUGCUUCUCCUCCAAAAGGAAUGAAGUGACCAGUACAAGACAUGUUCCUCCCUGCAUACAUUUGUGUUUCUAUGGUAUUGUAUCUGUAAUAUGAGCAUUACGUGCCCUGUUUGAAGAACAGUACUCCCUCUACUAACUGUUGUAUAAUGCUUUACUAUAAGAUAGUCUUCAUCCUAACCCACUUUAGGCAAUGUAUAACUUAUACAGGCACAAAAGCCUGUGGGAUUUUUCAUGUAGAAGCACAUCUUUGUAAGCCAGGAAUUUGGACUUGCUGUGCUAAUUCCAACAGAUAAUUGUACCAAUAUUGUGUCACCAGCCAAUAAGAAUGAUGAAUUUACACUAAGUAGGAAUUCAACUCUUUCAUUUCAGUUGUCUUGGUGUGAAAUGAUACUCUGUACCUGAAUGGAGGAAGGCAUGGAUAUAAAAGUUUAGGGAAAAAAGAA